RNAcentral lists this ribosomal RNA (492 nucleotides) under uncultured bacterium. RNAcentral's name for it is "partial 16S ribosomal RNA". It matches the Rfam family "Bacterial small subunit ribosomal RNA", at positions 29 to 507 of the family's 1533-position model. The record is from RNAcentral.
AGUGAACGCUGGCGGUAGGCCUGACACAUGCAAGUAGAACGGCAGCACAGUAAGAGCUUGCUCUUACGGGUGGCGAGUGGCGGACGGGUGAGGAAUACAUCGGAAUCUACUUUUUCGUGGGGGAUAACGUAGGGAAACUUACGCUAAUACCGCAUACGACCUACGGGUGAAAGCAGGGGAUCUUCGGACCUUGCGCGAUUGAAUGAGCCGAUGUCGGAUUAGCUAGUUGGCGGGGUAAAGGCCCACCAAGGCGACGAUCCGUAGCUGGUCUGAGAGGAUGAUCAGCCACACUGGAACUGAGACACGGUCCAGACUCCUACGGGAGGCAGCAGUGGGGAAUAUUGGACAAUGGGCGCAAGCCUGAUCCAGCCAUACCGCGUGGGUGAAGAAGGCCUUCGGGUUGUAAAGCCCUUUUGUUGGGAAAGAAAAGCAGCAGGUUAAUACCCCGCUGUUCUGACGGUACCCAAAGAAUAAGCACCGGCUAACUUCGUG